Molecule: ribosomal RNA, 1451 nt
Filed under: Lactobacillus delbrueckii subsp. bulgaricus
Lineage: Bacteria; Bacillati; Bacillota; Bacilli; Lactobacillales; Lactobacillaceae
Description: partial 23S ribosomal RNA
Rfam family: Bacterial large subunit ribosomal RNA
Source: RNAcentral
AGGUCAAGUGAAGAAGGGCGCACGGUGAAUGCCUUGGCACUGGAAGCCGAUGAAGGACGCGACUAACCGCGAAAGUCUUCGGGGAGCCGUAAGUAGGCUUUGAUCCGGAGGUCUCCGAAUGGGGGAACCCAGCAUGUGCAGACAUGCUAUCCUUAAGUGAAUACAUAGCUUAAGGAGGGAACACGCAGUGAACUGAAACAUCUAAGUAGCUGCAGGAAGAGAAAGAAAUAUCGAUUUCCCAAGUAGCGGCGAGCGAACAGGAAAGAGCCCAAACCGGCAGAUUUAUCUGCCGGGGUUGUAGGACUGAGACAUGGCACUUCAGAGGAUAGCAGAAGCGUUUGGGAAAGCGCGCCAGAGAGGGUGAGAGCCCCGUAAGCGAAAUCCAAAGAAGGCCUAUCAGUAUCCUGAGUAGGGCGGGACACGUGAAAUCCCGUUUGAAUCCGCGAGGACCAUCUCGCAAGGCUAAAUACUAACCAGUGACCGAUAGUGAACCAGUACCGUGAGGGAAAGGUGAAAAGAACCCCGGGAGGGGAGUGAAAGAGAACCUGAAACCGUGUGCCUACAAGUAGUCAGAGCCCGUUAACGGGUAAUGGCGUGCCUUUUGUAGAAUGAACCGGCGAGUUGCGUUAGUCAGCAAGGUUAAGUCAGAAAAGACGGAGCCGUAGCGAAAGCGAGUCUGAAGAGGGCGAGCAGUUGGCUGACGCAGACCCGAAACCAAGUGACCUACCCAUGACCAGGUUGAAGGCGCGGUAAAACGCGCUGGAGGACCGAACCCACGUAAGUUGAAAAUUGCGGGGAUGAGUUGUGGGUAGCGGUGAAAUUCCAAACGAACUUGGAGAUAGCUGGUUCUCUCCGAAAUAGCUUUAGGGCUAGCCUCGCAAAGAGGAUGCUGGAGGUAGAGCUCUGUUUGGACUAGGGGCCCGUCAAGGGUUACUGAAUUCAGAUAAACUGCGAAUUCCAGACAUUUAUGUGCGGGAGUCAGACUGCGAGUGAUAAGAUCCGUAGUCGAAAGGGAAACAGCCCAGAUCACCAGUUAAGGUCCCAAAAUUCAUGCUAAGUGGAAAAGGAUGUGGAGUUGCGCAGACAACUAGGACGUUGGCUCAGAAGCAGCCAUCAUUCAAAGAGUGCGUAAUAGCUCACUAGUCGAGUGACGCCGCGCCGAAAAUUUACCGGGGCUAAGCAUGAUACCGAAACUGUGGAUGUGCGUUUAUGCACGUGGUAGGAGAGCGUUCUAGCGGCGGUGAAGCAUGACCGAGAGGACAUGUGGAGCUUCUAGAAGUGAGAAUGCCGGUAUGAGUAACGAAAGACAGGUGAGAAUCCUGUCCGCCGCAAGACUAAGGUUUCCUGGGGCAGGCUCGUCCGCCCAGGGUAAGUCGGGACCUAAGGCGAGGCCGAGAGGCGUAGUCGAUGGACAACAGGUUGAAAUUCCUGUACUGCACCGAAUCGUUAUG